Molecule: ribosomal RNA, 440 nt
Filed under: uncultured bacterium
Lineage: Bacteria
Description: bacterial SSU rRNA
Rfam family: Bacterial small subunit ribosomal RNA
Source: RNAcentral
AGCGAACGCUGGCGGCAGGCCUAACACAUGCAAGUCGAGCGCCCGUAGCAAUACGGGAGCGGCAGACGGGUGAGUAACGCGUGGGAACGUGCCCUUUAGUUCGGAAUAACUCAGGGAAACUUGAGCUAAUACCGGAUACGCCCUUCGGGGGAAAGAUUUAUCGCUAAAGGAUCGGCCCGCGUAAGAUUAGCUAGUUGGUGAGGUAACGGCUCACCAAGGCGACGAUCCGUAACUGGUCUGAGAGGAUGAUCAGUCACACUGGAACUGAGACACGGUCCAGACUCCUACGGGAGGCAGCAGUGGGGAAUAUUGGGCAAUGGAGGAAACUCUGACCCAGCGACGCCGCGUGCGGGAUGAAGGCCUUCGGGUUGUAAACCGCUUUCAGCAGGGAAGAAGCGAAAGUGACGGUACCUGCAGAAGAAGCACCGGCUAACUAUGUG